CGAGUGGCGGACGGGUGAGGAAUACAUCGGAAUCUACUCUGUCGUGGGGAUAACGUAGGGAAACUUACGCUAAUACCGCAUACGACCUACGGGUGAAAGCAGGGGAUCUUCGGACCUUGCGCGAUUGAAUGAGCCGAUGUCGGAUUAGCUAGUUGGCGGGGUAAAGGCCCACCAAGGCGACGAUCCGUAGCUGGUCUGAGAGGAUGAUCAGCCACACUGGAACUGAGACACGGUCCAGACUCCUACGGGAGGCAGCAGGA
This 260-nucleotide ribosomal RNA is filed under the name uncultured Stenotrophomonas sp. Its description in RNAcentral is "partial 16S ribosomal RNA". It matches the Rfam family "Bacterial small subunit ribosomal RNA", at positions 92 to 354 of the family's 1533-position model. The record is from RNAcentral. Lineage: Bacteria; Pseudomonadati; Pseudomonadota; Gammaproteobacteria; Lysobacterales; Lysobacteraceae.